Molecule: ribosomal RNA, 253 nt
Filed under: uncultured bacterium
Lineage: Bacteria
Description: partial 16S ribosomal RNA
Rfam family: Bacterial small subunit ribosomal RNA
Source: RNAcentral
UACAGAGGGUGCGAGCGUUCAUCGGAAUUACUGGGCGUAAAGGGCGCGUAGGCGGUGGGUUACGUCUGCCGUGAAAUCCCCGGGCUCAACCUGGGAAUGGCGGUGGAAACGGGCUGACUGGAGUAUGGGAGAGGGUGAUGGAAUUCCAGGUGUAGGGGUGAAAUGCGUAGAGAUCUGGAGGAACACCAGUGGCGAAGGCGGUCACCUGGCCCAAUACUGACGCUGAGUCGCGAAAGCGUGGGGAGCAAACAGG